Molecule: ribosomal RNA, 495 nt
Filed under: uncultured bacterium
Lineage: Bacteria
Description: bacterial SSU rRNA
Rfam family: Bacterial small subunit ribosomal RNA
Source: RNAcentral
GAUCCUGGCUCAGGAUGAACGCUGGCGGCGUGCCUAACACAUGCAAGUCGAACGAAGCACCUGUUCACGAGUCCCUUCGGGGGUGACGAACUUGUGACUUAGUGGCGGACGGGUGAGUAACGCGUGGGAAACCUGCCCUGUACAGUGGGAUAACAGUUAGAAAUGACUGCUAAUACCGCAUAAGCGCACGGUACCGCAUGGUACAGUGUGAAAAACUCCGGUGGUACAGGAUGGUCCCGCGUCUGAUUAGCUUGUUGGUGGGGUAACGGCCUACCAAGGCAACGAUCAGUAGCCGACUUGAGAGAGUGAUCGGCCACAUUGGGACUGAGACACGGCCCAAACUCCUACGGGAGGCAGCAGUGGGGAAUAUUGCACAAUGGGGGAAACCCUGAUGCAGCGACGCCGCGUGAGUGAAGAAGUAUUUCGGUAUGUAAAGCUCUAUCAGCAGGGAAGAUAAUGACAGUACCUGACUAAGAAGCUCCGGCUAAAUACGUG